This 458-nucleotide ribosomal RNA is filed under the name uncultured bacterium. Its description in RNAcentral is "partial 16S ribosomal RNA". It matches the Rfam family "Bacterial small subunit ribosomal RNA", at positions 338 to 795 of the family's 1533-position model. The record is from RNAcentral.
CCUACGGGUGGCAGCAGUGAGGAAUAUUGGUCAAUGGGCGAGAGCCUGAACCAGCCAAGUCGCGUGAGGGAGUACUGCCCUAUGGGUUGUAAACCUCUUUUGUCGGGGAGCAAAAGCCGGACGUGUCCGGCUGUGAGCGUACCCGAAGAAAAAGCAUCGGCUAACUCCGUGCCAGCAGCCGCGGUAAUACGGAGGAUGCGAGCGUUACCCGGAUUUAUUGGGUUUAAAGGGUGCGCAGGCGGAUUUUUAAGUCAGCGGUAAAAUCGUGGGGCUCAACCCCAUCCAGCCGUUGAAACUGGGGAUCUAGAGUGUGCGAGAGGUAUGCGGAAUGCGUGGUGUAGCGGUGAAAUGCAUAGAUAGCACGCAGAACCCCGAUUGCGAAGGCAGCAUACCGGUGCACAACUGACGCUCAGGCACGAAAGCGUGGGUAUCGAACAGGAUUAGAUACCCCAGUAGUC